RNAcentral lists this ribosomal RNA (406 nucleotides) under uncultured bacterium. RNAcentral describes it as "partial 16S ribosomal RNA". It matches the Rfam family "Bacterial small subunit ribosomal RNA", at positions 30 to 526 of the family's 1533-position model. The record is from RNAcentral.
AUUGAACGCUGGCGGCAGGCCUAACACAUGCAAGUCGAACGAGUGGCGGACGGGUGAGUAAUGUCUGGGAAACUGCCUGAUGGAGGGGGAUAACUACUGGAAACGGUAGCUAAUACCGCAUACCAUCGGAUGUGCCCAGGUGGGAUUAGCUAGUAGGUGGGGUAAAGGCUCACCUAGGCGACGAUACCUAGCUGGUCUGAGAGGAUGACCAGCCACAAGGGAACUGAGAAACGAGCCAGCAUCUUCCGUGAGGCAGCAGUGGUGAAUAUUGCACAAUGGGCGCAAGUCUGAUGGAGCCAUGCCGCGUGUAUGAAGAAGGCCUUCGGGUUGUAAAGUAAUGUCAGCGGGGAGGCAUUGCCCGCAGAUGAAGCACCGGCUAACUCCGUGCCAGCAGCCGAGGUAAUAC